GUAGCUAAUUCUAAUAUUGAUAACUUUUGAAAAAAAAAAAACUCUGUUGUUGGUUCUACAGAGAACGAUUAGGUUAGGUUACCUAAGACGUGUCCCACCUUUUUAGGUGAGACAAAAAAUUGCAACUUUUUUUUUCAUUGAUAUCAUCUCGGUCUGAAUGAUAGUGUGUAAAAGUAAAACACAGUAGAACAUGUUAUGUGAUGUGUAAGAAAAGACAAAAGGGGGAUUAAUUUACCUGAGCUGGGUGAAGGUGCUUCACGAGAGAAUUCUGCAGGGCGACUAACAGGAUCAUGCAACUCACUCCUGGAAGAAGAAGACNACAUUUCGUAUAUACUAUUUACUAAAUAGCAAGUGGUUGACAGAGAUUACCAAAGAAGUUAUCUCUUCCAACAGUAAAAAGCACUUUAGUAGCUAAUUCUAAUAUUGAUAACUUUUGAAAAAAAAAAAACUCUGUUGUUGGUUCUACAGAGAACGAUUAGGUUAGGUUACCUAAGACGUGUCCCACCUUUUUAGGUGAGACAAAAAAUUGCAACUUUUUUUUUCAUUGAUAUCAUCUCGGUCUGAAUGAUAGUGUGUAAAAGUAAAACACAGUAGAACAUGUUAUGUGAUGUGUAAGAAAAGACAAAAG
Molecule: long non-coding RNA, 628 nt
Filed under: Lactuca sativa (garden lettuce)
Lineage: Eukaryota; Viridiplantae; Streptophyta; Magnoliopsida; Asterales; Asteraceae
Description: long non-coding RNA (LSAT_LNC004867)
Source: RNAcentral